CCUACGGGUGGCAGCAGUGGGGAAUAUUGCACAAUGGGGGAAACCCUGAUGCAGCGACGCCGCGUGAGUGAAGAAGUAUUUCGGUAUGUAAAGCUCUAUCAGCAGGGAAGAAAUAGCGACCUUUGGGUCGCCAGACGGUACCUGAUGAAGAAGCCCCGGCUAACUACGUGCCAGCAGCCGCGGUAAUACGUAGGGGGCAAGCGGUAUCCGGAGUUACUGGGUGUAAAGGGGGCGUAGACGGCAGCGCAAGUCUGAAGUGAAAUGCCGGGGCUUAACCCCGGAACUGCUUUGGAAUUUGUGCAGCUAGUGUGCCGGAGAGGUAAGUGGAAUUCCUGGUGUAGCGGUGACAUGCGUAGAUAUUAGGAGGAACACCAGUGGCGAAGGCGGCUUACUGGACUGUAACUGACGUUGAGGCUCGAAAGCGUGGGGAGCAAACAGGAUUAGAUACCCUUGUAGUC
This 458-nucleotide ribosomal RNA is filed under the name uncultured bacterium. Its description in RNAcentral is "partial 16S ribosomal RNA". It matches the Rfam family "Bacterial small subunit ribosomal RNA", at positions 338 to 795 of the family's 1533-position model. The record is from RNAcentral.